AUACGGAUGGUGCGAGCGUUGUUCGGAAUUACUGGGCGUAAAGGGCGCGUAGGCGGUGAUGUAAGUCAAAUGUGAAAGUCCUCGGCUUAACCGGGGAAGUGCAUCUGAAACUGCAUUGCUUGAGUAUGGGAGAGGAAAGUGGAAUUCCCGGUGUAGAGGUGAAAUUCGUAGAGAUCGGGAGGAAUACCGGUGGCGAAGGCGACUUUCUGGACCAAUACUGACGCUGAGGCGCGAAAGCGUGGGGAGCAAACAGGAUUAGAAACCCUAGUAGUCC
RNAcentral lists this ribosomal RNA (274 nucleotides) under uncultured bacterium. RNAcentral's name for it is "partial 16S ribosomal RNA". It matches the Rfam family "Bacterial small subunit ribosomal RNA", at positions 523 to 796 of the family's 1533-position model. The record is from RNAcentral.